This 137-nucleotide non-coding RNA is filed under the name Aliivibrio salmonicida. Its description in RNAcentral is "Moco (molybdenum cofactor) riboswitch". It matches the Rfam family "Molybdenum/Tungsten riboswitch aptamer (Moco RNA motif)", at positions 8 to 125 of the family's 135-position model. Lineage: Bacteria; Pseudomonadati; Pseudomonadota; Gammaproteobacteria; Vibrionales; Vibrionaceae. The record is from RNAcentral.
CCAUAACUCCGAGCUCAAGCUACUAAGUUGUUCUAAGAAAUAUUCAAUAUGUAGUGUGAGCCAGUGACAAUUCGGUCACAAGGGUUUGUUUGGAAAUGAACAAGCCUCCCGUGUUUGGAAAGGUGUUCCGUGGCGAA